AGUCACUGACAUUAGAUACCCCUGUAGUCCAGGGUGUAAACGCUGCAGACUUGGUGUUGGAGGCCCUUUGGGGGCAUUCAGUGCCGGAGAGAAGUUGUUAAGUCUGCUACUUGGGAGUACGUCCGCAAGGAUGAAACUUAAAAGAAUUGGCGGGGGAGCACCGCAACGGGAGGAGCGUGCGGUUUAAUUGGAUUCAACACCGUAAACUCACCAGGGAAGACUGUUACAUGAAGGCCGAGAUGAAGACUCUGCUAGAUUUUCAG
This 263-nucleotide ribosomal RNA is filed under the name uncultured archaeon. Its description in RNAcentral is "partial 16S ribosomal RNA". It matches the Rfam family "Archaeal small subunit ribosomal RNA", at positions 718 to 982 of the family's 1478-position model. The record is from RNAcentral.